UACGUAGGGGGCAAGCGUUAUCCGGAUUUACUGGGUGUAAAGGGAGCGUAGACGGCCAGACAAGUCUGAAGUGAAAAUCCAGCGCUUAACGUUGGAAGUGCUCUGGAAACUGCCGGGCUAGAGUGCAGGAGGGGCAGGCGGAAUUCCUAGUGUAGCGGUGAAAUGCGUAGAUAUUAGGAGGAACACCAGUGGCGAAGGCGGCCUGCUGGACUGCAACUGACGUUGAGGCUCGAAAGCGUGGGGAGCAAACAGG
This 253-nucleotide ribosomal RNA is filed under the name uncultured bacterium. RNAcentral describes it as "partial 16S ribosomal RNA". It matches the Rfam family "Bacterial small subunit ribosomal RNA", at positions 524 to 776 of the family's 1533-position model. The record is from RNAcentral.